CUGACGCAGCGUACACAUGCAAGUCGAGCGGUAACAGGUCCAGCUUGCUGGAUGCUGACGAGCGGCGGACGGGUGAGUAACGCAUAGGAAUCUACCCGGUAGUGGGGGAUAACCUGGGGAAACCCAGGCUAAUACCGCAUACGUCCUACGGGAGAAAGGGGGCUUCGGCUCCCGCUAUUGGAUGAGCCUAUGCCGGAUUAGCUGGUUGGUGAGGUAAUGGCUCACCAAGGCGACGAUCCGUAGCUGGUCUGAGAGGAUGAUCAGCCACAUCGGGACUGAGACACGGCCCGAACUCCUACGGGAGGCAGCAGUGGGGAAUAUUGGACAAUGGGGGCAACCCUGAUCCAGCCAUGCCGCGUGUGUGAAGAAGGCCCUCGGGUUGUAAAGCACUUUCAGCGAGGAAGAACGCCUGUCGGUUAAUACCCGGCAGGAAAGACAUCACUCGCAGAAGAAGCACCGGCUAACUCCGUGCCAGCAGCCGCGGUAAUACGGAGGGUGCAAGCGUUAAUCGGAAUUACUGGGCGUAAAGCGCGCGUAGGUGGCUUGAUAAGCCGGUUGUGAAAGCCCCGGGCUCAACCUGGGAACGGCAUCCGGAACUAU
RNAcentral lists this ribosomal RNA (600 nucleotides) under Vreelandella subterranea. RNAcentral's name for it is "bacterial SSU rRNA". It matches the Rfam family "Bacterial small subunit ribosomal RNA", at positions 36 to 636 of the family's 1533-position model. Lineage: Bacteria; Pseudomonadati; Pseudomonadota; Gammaproteobacteria; Oceanospirillales; Halomonadaceae. The record is from RNAcentral.